Drosophila mauritiana is the source of this 289-nucleotide long non-coding RNA. RefSeq lists it as uncharacterized. The transcript has 3 exons. The record is from RefSeq and is a predicted model, not a curated record. NCBI's taxonomy places the organism in Eukaryota, Metazoa, Arthropoda, Insecta, Diptera, Drosophilidae.
GGUGCGCCGCGUCUUGUGGCCAUAGCGUCAGGAUUGGCAGCUUGGGGCCGCCGGUUCGAGAUUUGUUGCAGAGGGCCGCCGCAACGUGAUAGGCAUGGAAAUGAAUGUAAGAAUUGUAUUUGGUACAUUGAGUGGAAUUUAAUUUAAGGUACGUUUUGUGAGGGCUAACUUGGAGGCCCUUUUUAUUGUGUUAUUGCAGCUGGAAUGCCGCGAUUUUGGAGUCAUCAAGUUGGCAAUUAGAUAAGUAUUAUAUUAUAAAUAUAUAUUUCCCAGUAAUAGCUUGUGUUCC